GGGUUGUGAGGUUAAGCGACUAAGCGUACACGGUGGAUGCCCUGGCAGUCAGAGGCGAUGAAGGACGUGCUAAUCUGCGAUAAGCGCCGGUAAGGUGAUAUGAACCGUUAUAACCGGCGAUUUCCGAAUGGGGAAACCCAGUGUGAUUCGUCACACUAUCAUUAACUGAAUCCAUAGGUUAAUGAGGCGAACCGGGGGAACUGAAACAUCUAAGUACCCCGAGGAAAAGAAAUCAACCGAGAUUCCCCCAGUAGCGGCGAGCGAACGGGGAGGAGCCCAGAGCCUGAAUCAGCAUGUGUGUUAGUGGAAGCGUCUGGAAAGGCGCGCGAUACAGGGUGACAGCCCCGUACACAAAAGCGCAUGUGCUGUGAGCUCGAUGAGUAGGGCGGGACACGUGGUAUCCUGUCUGAAUAUGGGGGGACCAUCCUCCAAGGCUAAAUACUCCUGACUGACCGAUAGUGAACCAGUACCGUGAGGGAAAGGCGAAAAGAACCCCGGCGAGGGGAGUGAAAAAGAACCUGAAACCGUGUACGUACAAGCAGUGGGAGCACCCUUCGGGGUGUGACUGCGUACCUUUUGUAUAAUGGGUCAGCGACUUAUAUUCUGUAGCAAGGUUAACCGUAUAGGGGAGCCGGAGGGAAACCGAGUCUUAAUUGGGCGUUAAGUUGCAGGGUAUAGACCCGAAACCCGGUGAUCUAGCCAUGGGCAGGUUGAAGGUUGGGUAACACUAACUGGAGGACCGAACCGACUAAUGUUGAAAAAUUAGCGGAUGACCUGUGGCUGGGGGUGAAAGGCCAAUCAAACCGGGAGAUAGCUGGUUCUCCCCGAAAGCUAUUUAGGUAGCGCCUCGUGAAUUCAUCUCCGGGGGUAGAGCACUGUUUCGGCUAGGGGGCCAUCCCGGCUUACCAACCCGAUGCAAACUGCGAAUACCGGAGAAUGUUAUCACGGGAGACACACGGCGGGUGCUAACGUCCGUCGUGAAGAGGGAAACAACCCAGACCGCCAGCUAAGGUCCCAAAGUCAUGGUUAAGUGGGAAACGAUGUGGGAAGGCCCAGACAGCCAGGAUGUUGGCUUAGAAGCAGCCAUCAUUUAAAGAAAGCGUAAUAGCUCACUGGUCGAGUCGGCCUGCGCGGAAGAUGUAACGGGGCUAAACCAUGCACCGAAGCUGCGGCAGCGAACGUAUCACCCAAGACAACUUUACGGAGUUGACGAUUGACGGAGCGAAGCGACGUCAAAGCGUUCAUUAAAGUCGAGUUGGCUUAGGGAUACGUUCGUUGGGUAGGGGAGCGUUCUGUAAGCCUGUGAAGGUGUGUCGUGAGGCAUGCUGGAGGUAUCAGAAGUGCGAAUGCUGACAUAAGUAACGAUAAAGCGGGUGAAAAGCCCGCUCGCCGGAAGACCAAGGGUUCCUGUCCAACGUUAAUCGGGGCAGGGUGAGUCGACCCCUAAGGCGAGGCCGAAAGGCGUAGUCGAUGGGAAACGGGUUAAUAUUCCCGUACUUGGUGUUACUGCGAAGGGGGGACGGAGAAGGCUAUGUUGGCCGGGCGACGGUUGUCCCGGUUUAAGCGUGUAGGUGUGUGUUCCAGGUAAAUCCGGUUCACUUUAACACUGAGGCGUGACGACGAGGCACUACGGUGCUGAAGCAACAAAUGCCCUGCUUCCAGGAAAAGCCUCUAAGCAUCAGGUAACAUCAAAUCGUACCCCAAACCGACACAGGUGGUCAGGUAGAGAAUACCAAGGCGCUUGAGAGAACUCGGGUGAAGGAACUAGGCAAAAUGGUGCCGUAACUUCGGGAGAAGGCACGCUGACACGUAGGUGAAGUGAUUUACUCAUGGAGCUGAAGUCAGUCGAAGAUACCAGCUGGCUGCAACUGUUUAUUAAAAACACAGCACUGUGCAAACACGAAAGUGGACGUAUACGGUGUGACGCCUGCCCGGUGCCGGAA
RNAcentral lists this ribosomal RNA (1943 nucleotides) under Salmonella enterica subsp. enterica serovar Typhimurium. RNAcentral's name for it is "partial 23S ribosomal RNA". It matches the Rfam family "Bacterial large subunit ribosomal RNA", at positions 1 to 1874 of the family's 2925-position model. Lineage: Bacteria; Pseudomonadati; Pseudomonadota; Gammaproteobacteria; Enterobacterales; Enterobacteriaceae. The record is from RNAcentral.